UACGGAGGGGGCUAGCGUUGUUCGGAAUUACUGGGCGUAAAGCGCACGUAGGCGGCUUUGUAAGUUAGAGGUGAAAGCCCGGGGCUCAACUCCGGAAUUGCCUUUAAGACUGCAUCGCUUGAACGUCGGAGAGGUGAGUGGAAUUCCUAGUGUAGAGGUGAAAUUCGUAGAUAUUAGGAAGAACACCGGUGGCGAAGGCGGCCCACUGGUCCGGUACUGACGCUGAGGUGCGAAAGCGUGGGGAGCAAACAGG
Molecule: ribosomal RNA, 253 nt
Filed under: uncultured bacterium
Lineage: Bacteria
Description: partial 16S ribosomal RNA
Rfam family: Bacterial small subunit ribosomal RNA
Source: RNAcentral